RNAcentral lists this long non-coding RNA (1339 nucleotides) under Olea europaea subsp. europaea. The record is from RNAcentral. Lineage: Eukaryota; Viridiplantae; Streptophyta; Magnoliopsida; Lamiales; Oleaceae.
AAAUGGUUUCAUUGUUCUUCUGGUAAAAUUCUAUAGAACUCUCUUAUUUAGAAUUUACAGAUAUUAUAUAUUAAUGCCUGAACAUGCCUUCGCAUCCAGUUUCAUUGAGGAUGGUUUGAGAGUAUCUGCUUAACGUUUUAUCUUGAUAGGCCAGCCAAUUUAAUUUAGGCCCUGUUUGUGGCCCUUUAAGUUCAAAAAUUGGAGUAUGGAAUAGUGAUUGAUGUUGAAAUGUGUGGUUAAAAAAGAAUGAAAACUUUUUGAUUCAUGUGUAAUAUUAUUUUAAUGAAGAAUGUGUGGUUGAAAAUGAGUAUUGUAGAAAAAAUAAUGUGGUAGAAUGUGGGAAAAUGGUUGACAAACAAGGGCUUACCUGUUUCAAACUAGGCAAGUAAUAAAUAAUCUGUUGAUUAUAAGAUCAUUUGUAUCCGUCUCUAUUAGUCUGUCAAGUUCUUUUGUAAGAUUGCAAUGAUUUUCACUGUUUGUUGCUGCUUAUUGUUUAUCCAGGAAAGAUGGUCAUGUCUGGUAGCCCAAUAAAACAGCAUUCCUUGAAAGCAUCACAUUUUUUUUUGCAAUGUAUUUGGCUAUUUAGGGCUGAUUGUUUAUCCAGGAAAGGAAAACAUGUCCAGUGGCCCAGUAGAAGAGCAUUCUACGAAUACAUCAAAUUUGCUUAACACUGAGUCACAGCUGACGGAAAAUCUGCUCUCCUGUAUCAUCCAAUUCCAGCUCCUACAGGCAUGUACUCUUUCCAACUUCAGUGCAACUCCAGCGAAGAAUGUUUCAGCUUUUGACGAGAACAGGGGGAUAGAUGGAAGAACCACAGGAAUACUGCCACUGGUUUGAGUAGUGGUGGAUAAGUAGAUGGGAUUUGUGAUUUCAGUGAGAGGUUGGAAGUUGAAAAUCUCAAAAUUCCUUGAGAAUUAUGUACUUCGACGCAAGAAAAUAUCAGAAUUUCAUGUAGGAUUUAAGGUGGUGUCCAGAAUUGUAUAGAUUCCGAUCACGUUAAUCAAAAUUGACAGACCAUGGCCAGUGGAUGACAACCUUGGACUUUUGUAGGAGAUUCAAGAAUGUUACUUUGAGAGGUGGCGUGGACCAUUUCUACUUAAUCUGCUUGUAGUGAAAUUCCUCAUUUUUAUUCCCUGCAUUUUUUAGUGCUCAGUUUUAUCUUAUAUACUUUGAUUAAUUGUAAUCACAAAAAGGUAAUUUAAAUAUAUAUGUUUCCUUUAUCCUUACCACGAUUCAAAAUAAUUUUAUCUAGCACAAAUGAUGUUUAACGCUAGACUACAAAAUAGUUGGGUUAUUAGUUUGUCAUAUAAUUGGAGCAUCUAACCCCUUCAAUGUGGUU